This 4586-nucleotide long non-coding RNA is filed under the name Homo sapiens (human). RNAcentral's name for it is "HSALNT0293624". The record is from RNAcentral. Lineage: Eukaryota; Metazoa; Chordata; Mammalia; Primates; Hominidae.
AAGAUUAAAGGAACAGCUUAUUGAUAUUGUAUAUGCUCUUGUUUGGAUGUGUGACGGGGAAGACAGCAUUUAACUGCUGGUAUGCAAUGCUGAACCUGGACUGCAUGAAGAGGUUUUCGUUCACUGAUGUUGGAUGUGUGCCCAGACUGCCAUAGUAGAAUUUAGGGAAAACACAGAAAGGAGGAGAGACACAGAAUGGUUUUUGGGAACAUCCAUGUGGGGCAGAAGAAUAAAUACAUGUGAAGACCAUGUUUCCAGAAAUGAAAUGACUGGCCACUGGGCAACAGUUAUGAGUCCCCCAAAUCCCUUCCUGGUCCUCUCCAUUUGCACUUGAAGGCACCAUUCAAAAGUGGACAGCAACAGCAGUGCAGCCCCUUUCUGGACAUCCUUGAAAGACGGCAGUGAAGGAAAUUUCUCCCAGUGGGCAGAACUUCAAACACAGCACCUGGAGACACACUGGCAAAGGAAAUAACCAGAGGUAAGAGUCUAUACAGAUAUAUGAUCUGUGGCCAAUGGUUUGGAAACAAAAUGAUUAUAAAAUUGGUAACAAAGAGGUUUGGGAAAGAGGUAUGUGGAAAAACCUUUUUGAUGGCAAAGAGUGUAAAGAUAUCUGUGUCCCAUAUGAAUGCUAAUCAAAGGGUGACCUCAGCAUAGGAGGAUUUUGAUAAUCAAGUGGACAGGACGGUCUGUUCUCUGGAUACCAGUCAGCUUCUUUCCCCGGCCAGUACUGUCAUUACGGAAUGCGCUCAUGGGCAAAGUGGCCAUGGUGGCAGAGAUGGAGGUUAUGAAAGUGCUCAGUAACAUGGACUUCCACUCACCAAGACUGGACUGACUACAGCCACUGCUGAGUGCCCAGUCUGCUGGAAAACAAACCAAUACCGAGUCCCUGAUACAGCACCAUUCCCAGCAGUGAUCAGCCAGCAAUGUAGUGGUAUGACAGCAUUGGAUUGCGUUUAUCAUGGAAGAGGCAAUGCUUUGUUCUUACUGGAAUGGACACUUACUCUGGGUGUGGAUUUUCCUUCCCUGCAUACAGUGUUUCUGCCAAAACUACCAUCAGUGGACAUACAGAAUGCCUUUUUUGCCAUCACAGUAUUCCAUCUAGCAUUGCUUCUGAUUAAGAAAUUUACUUCAUGCAAAUAAAGUGCAGUAAUGGGUCCACGUUCAUGAAAUUCACUGAUCUUACCAUGUUCCUCAGCAUCCUGAAGUAGCUGCUUCAUAGAAUAUUGGAAUGGCCUUUUGGAAAUUCAGAGACAGCACCAACUACAUGGCGACACCUUCCAGGACUGAAGUACUUUCCUCCAGGAGGCUGUAUGUGCUGUAAAUCUGCAUCUAGUGUAUGGUGCUGCUUCUCCCAUAGCCAGGAUUCAUGGGUCCAGGAAUCAAGGGGUGAAAACGAGAAAAUCAAGGGAUGAAAAUGACUCCACUCACUCUUACUCCUGGGAAGCCACUAUCAGGAGUUUUGCUUGCCAUCCCCCUGAACUUUUGCAUUGUUGAUCUAGAAGUCUUAGUUCCAAAGUUAGGAGUGCUUCUACCAGAAGACAUCACAAUGAUUCCAUUGAUCUGGAAAUUGAAGCUAUUACCUGACCAUUGUAAGCUCCUCAUGUCUCUGAGUUCACAGGCAAAGAAGAGAGUUACUGUACUGGCUGGGAUUAUCAGUCCUAAUCAUCAAGGGGAAAUUAAACUGCUACUCCACAAUGGAGGUAACGGACACUAUGUUUAGAAUGCAGGAGGCCCUUAGGUUGGCAUCUCCUAGUACUCCCAUGUCCUGUGAUUAAAGCCAAUGGAAAACUAUAACAAACCUGAGAGUGGCCCAGACUCUUCAGAAAGGAAGGUUUGGAUCACUCCACCAGGCAAACAACCAUGACCAUCAGAGGUGCUGCUGAAGGAAAAGGGAAUACGGAGUGCCUAGUGGGAGAAGGCAGUUACAAAUAUCAGCUACAAGUGUGUGACCAAUUGCAGAAACAAUGACUGUAAAUGUUGCAAGUUCAGCUGUAUUGUGGAAAAAAGGAUUUAAGCAAAGAUUGAACCUGGUGAAAUGCGGAUAGCUGGUCCACUUGAGGACAUUCCAUUUCUUCGCUUCUCCAAUGGAGCAGGUUUCUGCACGCAGCUCACAUGCUUAUAUGUAUGGUGGCAUUGCCUACUCUCUACCCAGUUGUCCCAUCAACUCCCUACACUCUACACCACUGAAAUCUGUGCAAACAAGAUCAAGCUACUGAUCAUCUUCUGAACAAUGAAUUCUUUUCUGACAGGGAAGGAUUGUUCUGCAACUCAUGCGGAGCACCAAGGGUGCUGGAGACUCAGGUCCAUAGAACCCAGCUUUACCAUACGGAUGUGCAUCAUAACACUGUAUCAUGAUAAUGCAAGACUAAACACCUGACUUGAUGCCCAGGGCAAUGAUGCUGUGUUUAUCAAACAAUAAAACUAUUAUCUUAAAAAUCUGUUUAACUUGAAACCAUCCUAGAUGAUUCAAUACCUCAAGGCUUUCAAGAGAACAAACAUUGUGAACAACGGCUUGACUUUCUUACGAAGAGAAUUAAUUAAAUUGUAAACCAAUUUUUACGCACCCUGAUGAUUUUUUAUGUUGUUUCCUGAGCCGAGUAUCCUUGAGAAAUUCAACAGUGAUAAGUAAAAUUGCAUUGUAACUGCUCAGGAUUUGUUCAACAUUCAGUGUUUAUUGACCAGAAGCAGUUAAAGUGUUUGGGUAAGGAAUAUAGACUCAGAGCAGACUGCCCCAGCUCCAACCCAGCUUCUCCACUUAAUAGCUAUGAAGUUGAGCAAUUUAGUGAACCUCUCAGUGCUUCAGUUUUCUCUAUAAAAUGGGGAUAAUUUGAAUCUAUCUGCAGAUGCCACGUGGGUUAAAUAAGAGCAUAUGGGCUUAUAACAAUGCCUGAAACAUAGCAAGUGCUCUAUAGAUGGUAUCCAUUAAUGUAAGGCCUCCAUAGAACAGACAUUUGACUCAAUAUAGCAAUAUAUUAAAUAUAUUCAUAUAAAUUAAACAUGGUGACUAACUUCAACUAAUUUCCAUCACAGUGGGGACAACAAAACAUGUAUUUAAAACCCACACAUUAUUUAAGGACCAGAUUAAAUGCAUCAAAAUCUUCAUUAAUUCCAUGUUGUUCAAUGUAAUCUUUCCCACAGCAACUUAAAUGUACUUCUCUUUAACAUGUUCUACCAAGUUUUAUAAUUAAUUAUGUACAUGUCUAUUCUUUCCUACCAGAUUCUGAUAUGCUUGAGACAGAUUCACUUCAUCCUCUUUCUGCAUGCCUGGUUGAAUGACUGGCACAUAGUAAAUGCUCAAUAAAUGUUUGAUAAAUGAAUGAAUAACAAUAUAUAAGGCAUUAUAUGGUGACGAAAGCAUCACACAAAAGCAUCACAACUGAAGCACAAUUAAGUACCAUAAACAUUAGCCUUCAUCUACUGCCAUGACAGCUGAAGAGAUCCAGAGAGAUCCACUCCUGAUGUGCAUUCGUAGGGCGAGUUUUACAAAAAACAUGGCACAGGAGGAGGUUCUUAAAUGUUUAAACACAGCACUCAGUCUUAUAGAGGCUCUGCUUCUUUAAUCGGCCCUUUCUAAUCUUCUCUCCUCAUUGUGAAAUUCGGGAAAUAUGUUUCUUUACAUGCCUCCUCAAAUUUACAGAACUGGCCCAAGCAUUGAUUUUCUAGACAUAAUUCACUCCCAUUGCAGAUGUCCUAGGAAAUGGAGAGCUCUAUGACAGAAGUACACAUCAUGUGUCCAAAGUAACUUCAUAAUGGUUUCUGGGUUGUUAAAACAGGAAGAAACCAUUGCCUUUUAGAGGAAAGCUACAGUAAAUGUCACCAUAUGAAUAAACAUUGCAGUGACAUGCUUAAGCCUGGUUUUACUUGUUAUGAUUAUGUUGUCUGACUCUUACCACCAGAAGUGUUUCCCUCAUAUUUUCCUUCACAUUAACAUUUACGAUGGAGGGGCAGCAUUCCCCUUUGCUCACAUUGGCCAAAAUUAGUCCCUUUACACCCAGCAAUAUUUCAACAGUCACAGACCAGUGAGAGACCAGCAUAAACCCAGCUUGCUAUGGGCCUCAGCAUGUUCCACCAGCUUUACUCCAGCCAACAAAACUGCCAUUUGGAAUCCAUCUGCUGCAUUUCACGGACCUAAAUUCUGACCUAGUAGGUAGUCACUGAACUCGAACUGAGCAGAAAGGGCCAGAGGUUCUAAAGGGAAACAUUCUUCAGCGCCACUACAUGUGCCCUAAGACAUGAAACACCUAAGACAGCACCUUGAGGCAUAUUUUUCAGUGCAGAAGUAGCAGAAAACAGAACAUGACUCCCCACCCCUUCUUUAUAUUCCAAUGAGAUUUGCUAGUUUAACCAGAGCUGCAGUACAAAAGCACUUGUGGUUCAUGUUAUAUUAAUAGUGUGGCCUGAUUAUCAAAAACCAUUACUCUUGGUUAUCUUGCAGCGGCUGUACAGAGCUGCUAUAAGUCAGAGUGACUGCCCACACAGUGUUUGCUCCAUGCUUAUGAUAACAGUAUUCUUAAUGCAAAAGUGCAUUUGUAAAAUUAUUGCCUUUUAAAGAUCAGAUCUGUUAUAAAUGAGAUAUGAUCACACAA